UAACAUAUUUUACUUCUUUAUGAUAUACCGUAUUUCCUGGCAAAGAAGACGCACCUGCAUUGAAGACGCACCCCCACUUUGUGUUGCUAAAUUUUGAAAAA
This is a long non-coding RNA of Amblyraja radiata (thorny skate), 101 nucleotides long. RefSeq lists it as uncharacterized. Lineage: Eukaryota; Metazoa; Chordata; Chondrichthyes; Rajiformes; Rajidae. The record is from RefSeq and is a predicted model, not a curated record. The transcript has 4 exons.